Molecule: ribosomal RNA, 303 nt
Filed under: uncultured bacterium
Lineage: Bacteria
Description: partial 16S ribosomal RNA
Rfam family: Bacterial small subunit ribosomal RNA
Source: RNAcentral
AGCAGUCGCCACGGUAAUACGUAGGUGGCAAGCGUUGUCCGGAAUUAUUGGGCGUAAAGCGCGCGCAGGCGGAUAGGUCAGUCUGUCUUAAAAGUUCGGGGCUUAACCCCGUGAUGGGAUGGAAACUGCCAAUCUAGAGUAUCGGAGAGGAAAGUGGAAUUCCUAGUGUAGCGGUGAAAUGCGUAGAUAUUAGGAAGAACACCGGUGGCGAAGGCGACUUUCUGGACGAAAACUGACGCUGAGGCGCGAAAGCGUGGGGAGCAAACAGGAUUAGAUACCCCAGUAGUCCCUGUCUUUUAUACA